GACGAACGCUGGCGGCGUGCUUAACACAUGCAAGUGGAGCGACGAACCGGGGCUUGCCCCGGGGCAGAGCCGCGAACGGGUGAGUAACACGUGGGUAACCUGCCUCAAUGAUUGGGACAACCCGGGGAAACUCGGGCUAAUACCAAAUGUGUUCAACUCCUUCUAAGGGGAGUGAGGAAAGGAAGCUUCGGCCUCCGCAUUGAGAUGGGCCCGCGGCCCAUUAGCUUGUUGGUGAGGUAACGGCUCACCAAGGCUUCGAUGGGUAGCUGGUCUGAGAGGACGAUCAGCCACACUGGGACUGAGACACGGCCCAGACUCCUACGGGAGGCAGCAGUGGGGAAUCUUGCACAAUGCGCGAAAGCGUGAUGCAGCAAACGCCGCGUGGGGGAAGAC
This 393-nucleotide ribosomal RNA is filed under the name uncultured bacterium. RNAcentral's name for it is "bacterial SSU rRNA". It matches the Rfam family "Bacterial small subunit ribosomal RNA", at positions 28 to 412 of the family's 1533-position model. The record is from RNAcentral.